UACUCCUACGGGAGGCAGCAGUGGGGAAUUUUGGACAAUGGGCGAAAGCCUGAUCCAGCCAUGCCGCGUGCAGGAUGAAGGCCUUCGGGUUGUAAACUGCUUUUGUACGGAACGAAAAGGUCUUUUCUAAUAAAGAAGGCUCAUGACGGUACCGCAAGAAUAAGCACCGGCUAACUACGUGCCAGCAGCCGCGGUAAU
This 198-nucleotide ribosomal RNA is filed under the name uncultured soil bacterium. RNAcentral describes it as "partial 16S ribosomal RNA". It matches the Rfam family "Bacterial small subunit ribosomal RNA", at positions 334 to 524 of the family's 1533-position model. The record is from RNAcentral.